RNAcentral lists this ribosomal RNA (497 nucleotides) under uncultured bacterium. RNAcentral describes it as "partial 16S ribosomal RNA". It matches the Rfam family "Bacterial small subunit ribosomal RNA", at positions 28 to 507 of the family's 1533-position model. The record is from RNAcentral.
GAUGAACGCUGGCGGCGUGCCUAAUACAUGCAAGUCGAGCGAACGGACGAGGAGCUUGCUCCUCUGACGUUAGCGGCGGACGGGUGAGUAACACGUGGAUAACCUACCUAUAAGACUGGGAUAACUUCGGGAAACCGGAGCUAAUACCGGAUGAUAUAUUGAACCGCAUGGUUCAAUAGUGAAAGACGGUUUUGCUGUCACUUAUAGAUGGAUCCGCGCCGCAUUAGCUAGUUGGUAAGGUAACGGCUUACCAAGGCAACGAUGCGUAGCCGACCCGAGAGGGUGAUCGGCCACACUGGAACUGAGACACGGUCCAGACUCCUACGGGAGGCAGCAGUAGGGAAUCUUCCGCAAUGGGCGAAAGCCUGACGGAGCAACGCCGCGUGAGUGAUGAAGGUCUUCGGAUCGUAAAACUCUGUUAUUAGGGAAGAACAUAUGUGUAAGUAACUAUGCACGUCUUGACGGUACCUAAUCAGAAAGCCACGGCUAACUACGUG